This 63-nucleotide transfer RNA is filed under the name Oxyethira ecornuta. RNAcentral describes it as "tRNA-Ile". Lineage: Eukaryota; Metazoa; Arthropoda; Insecta; Trichoptera; Hydroptilidae. The record is from RNAcentral.
AAUAAAGUGCCUGAUUAAAGGAUUAUCGUGAUAAGAUAAAUCAAGUACUUAAUACCUUUAUUA